Molecule: long non-coding RNA, 1622 nt
Filed under: Setaria italica (foxtail millet)
Lineage: Eukaryota; Viridiplantae; Streptophyta; Magnoliopsida; Poales; Poaceae
Description: long non-coding RNA (SITA_LNC004843)
Source: RNAcentral
GUUUCUUGAAAUAUGGGGUAAAAAUCUUUGCGGAAGUAAGCAAAUUGCAGUAUUUAGUAGUUGUGACACUCCUGGAAUGCCCACUGUGAUUGCCAGGUUGUAGUUAACAAUUUUUCGCUUUCACGUUGUGCUUCAUGGAUUUCUGUACUCAUCGUGCAAUGUGGAGAUGAUGAUCGAACGAUCGAUUUUAACUGUCACUUGUUUGCUUUCAGUAUGUUUCAAUGGGUGACAGGGAUGAUCUAUCCCAAUACAGGCUAUGGGUACUGGUGAGUGAGGACAAUUCUCUUCUCAGGGUGGAAGACCUGUUUCUCCGGGUCGUGCUGCGUGUUUUCUGGUGGCAGCUCAUUUUUACGAUCUUUGCUGUCUGGUAGUGAAAAAAGCUGCGCCUAUCCUGUAUAGGAUGAUUGUCCAACAACAGUUGGAAAUACCAUGAGAACAAGGUCGGUGUCCCAGAAUGUGAUGAGGAUGGCAGCGUAUUAGUAUGCCUGACUUCAAUGGUUUUCAAACUCUGCUCAAGCAAAUGAACUGCUCCCUCCGUCCCAAAUUACUAUUCGUUUUGGUUUUUCUAAGUACAUGGCUUUUGUUAUGCACCUAAAUAUAUAUUAUAUCUAGAUACAUAGAAAAAGCUAUGCAUCUAGAAAAGUCAAAACGAAUAGUAAUUUGGGAUGGAGGGAGUAUUUACGAAGGAAGAGAGUUGGAUUUGAAGAUGUUGGAUGCAUUUCUGUGUCUUACGGUCACUGAUUCGUUAGGAGGGUUGGACACGUGGUGUUAAAGUGCCAAGAGUGAUUGGUAGACUGAAUGUUGUCAAUAUUGCACGAGGUAAGACCAUGCUGAAGGAGAUCGAAUUACUCAAUUGCACAAGCUAGGAAUUACUGGCAUUGACAAGAAUAACUGCAAGUCUGCAAGGUUUUUGAGUCUGCCAUCGCAAACCACAGACACUUGUGGUCCUUAUCAUUGCAUUUCGAGGCCAAAGAUGCAUCCAACAGUGCUCCAAUUGGGGGCCUAUACAAUGUCAAAUCACCAAGUUAAAGAAAUUAGCAAUGCCUCACCUCAAGCUUUUGAAUUCUGAUGAUUAACUGUUAGUGAGUUACAGUCUUACAGACUCCUCUUGGUUUACUGAAAUUCUGUUCCUGUCGAGUCUCAAGGAAGUCCUGCUUAAUGGUUUGUAUUGCAGCGGAGCGGAAAUACUAGUGGGAUAUGGACCUUUACUUGGACCAAUUUUUUUAGAAGGACCGGCCAUUCAUGGAACAAUUUUUACCCACCUUGCUGACAAUCCAAACAGGUCUGAACUGAAGAUUGGCUACUGAAUGAUCCAAACAGGUCUGCAUUGACAAUCCACCUUUCUCGUCUGUCGCUGUUGGUUGUCAUGCUUGUUAUCAUCAAUGGUUUUUUCUUCCAAAUCGCAGAAGAUCAUAUGAGAAAUGAAACAAAAGUUUGUUUCUUUGUACCCUGAGCUGUAUUGUCCUAAUAUAUAUUUUUUUUAAAAAAGUACUUGUCCAGGUAAUACUGUUCUAGUUUCUUCUCAUGUCUAUUCAAAACUACAUUCAUGUCCCUGCCGCUAUUGUUUCCAAAUUCCAGUAGGCACAGGAUAUAUGACACAAAAAUUUGUUGUUUAUCGUUUG